Molecule: long non-coding RNA, 220 nt
Organism: Nannospalax galili (Upper Galilee mountains blind mole rat)
Lineage: Eukaryota; Metazoa; Chordata; Mammalia; Rodentia; Spalacidae
Exons: 2
Source: RefSeq, a predicted model, not a curated record
CCGGCCCACCCCUGACGCGGAGCGAUCUAAAGGGGCUUGCGAAGGGGUCGCCGCCACGCGCAGACGCAGCGCUCCGUCCCAGGGGUUUCCCCGCGGGAAGCUGGGCUAGACCAUCGUGGCUGUCGACGGGGCUGGUCUUAGUGGUGCACUCCAGUAGGCGAAUACUGAAGAGGAGUUUGAAGCCAGGCCGAGCUGCACCUUAAAAAAAAAAAAACAAAAA